GACGAACGCUGGCGGCGUGCUUAACACAUGCAAGUCGAACGAUGAAAAAAGGAGCUUGCUCUUUUUGGAUUAGUGGCGAACGGGUGAGUAACACGUGAGUAAUCUGCCCCGGACUCUGGGAUAAGCGUUGGAAACGACGUCUAAUACCGGAUAUGAAGCGUGGAGGCAUCUUCUGCGUUUGGAAAGAUUUUUUGGUUUGGGAUGAGCUCGCGGCCUAUCAGCUUGUUGGUGAGGUAAUGGCUUACCAAGGCGACGACGGGUAGCCGGCCUGAGAGGGUGACCGGCCACACUGGGACUGAGACACGGCCCAGACUCCUACGGGAGGCAGCAGUGGGGAAUAUUGGACAAUGGGCGGAAGCCUGAUCCAGCAACGCCGCGUGAGGGAUGACGGCCUUCGGGUUGUAAACCUCUUUCAGUAGGAACGAAGCGCAAGUGACGGUACCUACAGAAGAAGCACCGGCCAACUACGUGCCAGCAGCCGCAGUAACAC
Molecule: ribosomal RNA, 490 nt
Filed under: uncultured bacterium
Lineage: Bacteria
Description: bacterial SSU rRNA
Rfam family: Bacterial small subunit ribosomal RNA
Source: RNAcentral